CCUACGGGAUGCAGCAGUGAGGAAUAUUGCUCAAUGGACGAGAGUCUGAACCAGCCAAGUAGCGUGAAGGAUGACUGCCCUAUGGUUUGUAAACUUCUUUUAUAAAGGAAUAAAACGAGGCACGUGUGCCUUUUUGCAUGUACUUUAUGAAUAAGGAUCGCCUAACUCCGUGCCAGCAGCCGCGGUAAUACGGAGGAUCCGAGCGUUAUCCGGAUUUAUUGGGUUUAAAGGGAGCGUAGAUGGGUUGUUAAGUCAGAUGGGAAAGUUUGCGGCUCAACCGUACAAUUGCAAUUGAUACUGGCAGUCUAGAGUACAGUUGAGGUAGGCGGAAUUCGUGGUGUAGCGGUGAAAUGCUUAGAUAUCACGAAGAACCCCGAUUGCGAAGGCAGCUUACUAAACUGUGACUGACAUUGAUGCUCGAAAGUGUGGGUAUCAAACAGGAUUAGAUACCCCUGUAGUC
RNAcentral lists this ribosomal RNA (460 nucleotides) under uncultured bacterium. RNAcentral's name for it is "partial 16S ribosomal RNA". It matches the Rfam family "Bacterial small subunit ribosomal RNA", at positions 338 to 795 of the family's 1533-position model. The record is from RNAcentral.